This 751-nucleotide ribosomal RNA is filed under the name Escherichia coli. Its description in RNAcentral is "partial 23S ribosomal RNA". It matches the Rfam family "Bacterial large subunit ribosomal RNA", at positions 479 to 1230 of the family's 2925-position model. Lineage: Bacteria; Pseudomonadati; Pseudomonadota; Gammaproteobacteria; Enterobacterales; Enterobacteriaceae. The record is from RNAcentral.
ACUGACCGAUAGUGAACCAGUACCGUGAGGGAAAGGCGAAAAGAACCCCGGCGAGGGGAGUGAAAAAGAACCUGAAACCGUGUACGUACAAGCAGUGGGAGCACGCUUAGGCGUGUGACUGCGUACCUUUUGUAUAAUGGGUCAGCGACUUAUAUUCUGUAGCAAGGUUAACCGAAUAGGGGAGCCGAAGGGAAACCGAGUCUUAACUGGGCGUUAAGUUGCAGGGUAUAGACCCGAAACCCGGUGAUCUAGCCAUGGGCAGGUUGAAGGUUGGGUAACACUAACUGGAGGACCGAACCGACUAAUGUUGAAAAAUUAGCGGAUGACUUGUGGCUGGGGGUGAAAGGCCAAUCAAACCGGGAGAUAGCUGGUUCUCCCCGAAAGCUAUUUAGGUAGCGCCUCGUGAAUUCAUCUCCGGGGGUAGAGCACUGUUUCGGCAAGGGGGUCAUCCCGACUUACCAACCCGAUGCAAACUGCGAAUACCGGAGAAUGUUAUCACGGGAGACACACGGCGGGUGCUAACGUCCGUCGUGAAGAGGGAAACAACCCAGACCGCCAGCUAAGGUCCCAAAGUCAUGGUUAAGUGGGAAACGAUGUGGGAAGGCCCAGACAGCCAGGAUGUUGGCUUAGAAGCAGCCAUCAUUUAAAGAAAGCGUAAUAGCUCACUGGUCGAGUCGGCCUGCGCGGAAGAUGUAACGGGGCUAAACCAUGCACCGAAGCUGCGGCAGCGACGCUGAUGCGUUGUUGGGUA